Molecule: long non-coding RNA, 476 nt
Organism: Galeopterus variegatus (Sunda flying lemur)
Lineage: Eukaryota; Metazoa; Chordata; Mammalia; Dermoptera; Cynocephalidae
Exons: 3
Source: RefSeq, a predicted model, not a curated record
AGUCUUCGUGACUCAGGUGGGGCGUCCUCCACUUGUCUCAGCCCUGGGCAGCCACAGGGCCUUCACUGAUAUGAAUGUUCUGCAGUGGCUUGUCCUGGAUCAUCUUUCUCUCUGCAAUCUAACCUCAUGGCUGCUGCCUGGUGACAGCUGCGUCCUGUCUGGGCAUCCUAUCAGCAGAAGCAAAGGAUUCUGAAGACCUAAGAAAUGGCAGAACCACAAAAUGAAAACAGCCUGGGUCCCUGCAUCACCACAUGGAAGGCUUUCCACUGAACGCUUGUACUAAACUGUUAUUAUAGGCUGGGAAGUUCAAAGUCCAGGGAACACACCUGCUGAGGGCCUUCUUCUUGGUGAAAACCCUACACAGGCCUGUGGCAAGCUAACAUCCUCACCUGCUCUCCUUUUAAAGCCGUCAGACCCAUGCCCAUUACUACCCACUGAACCAUCAACUUAUUACUCCAUGAAUGGAUCAAUCCACU